Molecule: unclassified non-coding RNA, 252 nt
Filed under: Hevea brasiliensis (rubber tree)
Lineage: Eukaryota; Viridiplantae; Streptophyta; Magnoliopsida; Malpighiales; Euphorbiaceae
Source: RNAcentral
GGGUUUUAGAAAGCCAUAAAGAGAAACACCAAGUUUUAUUUCUCUAAGAUGGUUCUUGAGUUGCAACUAGAGGAGGCUUUCUUAUAUAGAGGAGAGACCUUAAGACCAUAAAAAAUAAGAAUAAUUAUACUGACAAGCUUUCAAAAAGAAAGCUAAUUACAAACUUUGAAUAAAGCAACACACUUUAAAUAAUACACACCGACACACUUAAAGUAGGGACAAGCCAACAGUGAUAAAGUUCACAGGUUUACG